This is a non-coding RNA of Vigna umbellata (rice bean), 423 nucleotides long. The record is from RefSeq and is a predicted model, not a curated record. NCBI's taxonomy places the organism in Eukaryota, Viridiplantae, Streptophyta, Magnoliopsida, Fabales, Fabaceae.
GCAACAGGAAAUAUUAGUUACAUUCCCACGAACCCAGUCUCUGUUUUUGUCCUUUUUUUCUUUCUUUCUUAAUCCAUGCGCGUUGUGGAGGACAGACAGAAUGCACGAAGUUCAGAUCUAAGCUCUAAUACCAAUUUCAUAGAGAAGGUUCAGUAACGCUGUUUUUGCUGAGUACUAUAUAACAUUAACAUCGUCGUGGUCAUAACAUAAACAAUUGAAUGAUGUCGCGGAGACCUGUGAAUCUGUCUCGGCGAUUUGGAGACAGCGGAGGUGGAUUGUUUUCAUCGUCGAAAUCAAAGACUUCGCCAGCUUUGUCGGUUGGGCUCAUAAUUUUGGGAGGCUUGUUUCUCAUUGGCUAUGUUUACAAGGGCUCAGGUGGAUUUGGCAGCCGUUUGGAGUCUUUCAGCAGGCUUCAAGGUACCU